CAAAUAGAAACCAAAUGGUGAGGUGCUUUCUUUGGGAGAAAGACUUAGUUAGUUCGAUUCUAUCCUAUUUGA
This 72-nucleotide transfer RNA is filed under the name Vanderwaltozyma polyspora. RNAcentral describes it as "transfer RNA-Pro". The record is from RNAcentral. Lineage: Eukaryota; Fungi; Ascomycota; Saccharomycetes; Saccharomycetales; Saccharomycetaceae.